Long non-coding RNA from Carassius carassius (crucian carp), 1272 nucleotides. RefSeq lists it as uncharacterized. Lineage: Eukaryota; Metazoa; Chordata; Actinopteri; Cypriniformes; Cyprinidae. The record is from RefSeq and is a predicted model, not a curated record. The transcript is spliced from 2 exons.
UGAGAGGGUCAUUGGGCCAUAUAGUGGGGGGACAAUGCCUGAGGAUGACCUGAGGGGGUCACCUAAGUCCUAAAUUUGUGAGAAACAAACUACAGAGAGUGUUUUUUAUGUUAUCAAUGGAAAGUUACAGCUGCUAAGACUUUGUAACCUUGAAGCAAAGGGAUAUAAGGUGGAGGACUGCCCUCUUCCUGGGUCAGUUUCACUCUGCAGGAACUCAGUGUUGCUGUAUGACUGUCUGACCUUCUUUGCAAGGAAUAAAAGCUUUCUUUUUAAUUAUACCUGAGAAUGAGCCUGCCCGGAGGGGACACCACUGGAAUCAGAAAAGAACCUGGGUGGCAACAGAACUCUCGGGUAAGAGACAGUUCAUGGUAUUCUAAAUUUUGGGAUUUUUAGAAAUAAGGAUUGGAAUUUAAAUUAGAAAAGGGACGAACCAUAGUGGUGGGUCCUUCUCUGUGGGAAGCACAAUCAGGGUGAUUCCAGGGGAAUUGGAUUGUGAGAAUACUGUGGCACAGUUAAUACAUUUCUAAGGGGGAAUUGAAACUGCUGCAACUGGCGUGAUCAUAAUUGAGUUAGAAAUUGAGAUCGAAACGAUCCAGAUAUUUUGAAGCGAUAAGCUGAGAUCACGCGCAAGCGGUUAACAUAUUUCUAAGAGGGGAAAUGAGACUAUGCGAGUAUUGCCUCCCCGACUUGGACAGGGGAAGUCGGAUAUGUUGGAGACGUCUGACAGAUUAUAGGCGCGCCGAAGGAAAAGGUAUCCACAGAGAAGGAAACCAGCAAAUAUGGGAAAGUCUCAGAGCAAGCUCGUUGAAUAUGAUACACCGGUGUUUAGGCAAAUGAAAAAAGUGUAUGGCCAAAAAUGCAUGCAAGAUAUGGGGAAAUUAAUUAAAUACCAUGGUUUUCCAAAAGAGGGAACGUUGAGUGUUAAGAAAUUAAAAGCUGUGAAGGAAUCAGUAGAAGAGGGAAGCGAGAGACAGAAAGGUUGUUGUGUGAGACACGUGUGAGAGAUGUGAACGAACUGUGAAUUGUUGGAUAGCGGAAGCAGAUAGGAGAGAAAGGAGAACGAUGCAGAAAGAAUUAGCAAGUAGAAAGGAGGAAAAGAAAGUUGAAGAAUGUGAAGAAAAUGUAAUUGCCUCACAUAGACCUACUAACCGCUCUGAUGUUUGUGUUUCUAAACAUGUACCUCCGCCCUAUACACAUUUUCCUGUGAUUGAGUUGCAAGCCGUGAAAAUGGACCCUGACCUCGACUGCUCUCCGCCGAGAAGACCAACAGCA